RNAcentral lists this long non-coding RNA (200 nucleotides) under Homo sapiens (human). RNAcentral's name for it is "LHRI_LNC137.1". The record is from RNAcentral. Lineage: Eukaryota; Metazoa; Chordata; Mammalia; Primates; Hominidae.
GGGGGUUGCUUCACUUGUUGGUAAAGAUUUUAAUGUGUCAACCAGAACAAAUACUUGUUUGAUAAAGGAGAAAGGAGUUGGCCUUCCCCAGCAGGAGAGUAGGAGGAGCUUUGAAAGCAGACAGAUGACUUAUAGAGAGCAAAAGCAAGGGCUUGAAGUGAACAAGUUGGCAUUUUGGUGUAGACAAGUCUGAUCUGUAC